Molecule: long non-coding RNA, 225 nt
Filed under: Elaeis guineensis (African oil palm)
Lineage: Eukaryota; Viridiplantae; Streptophyta; Magnoliopsida; Arecales; Arecaceae
Description: long non-coding RNA (EGUI_LNC067354)
Source: RNAcentral
GGAGUGCUAGCCCGGUCGGAGGGGCCAGGAAGCUCCAGGUCGUACUCCGGAGGAACUCCAUACUGAACCCUUAUUAGUAGGAGUUCAACCGGAGUCAAGGAGUAGGGAAUGACACUCGACGUAAAAAUUGGGUGAAGCCCAGUCCCAAAUGUGGGUUCGUCUACAGAAUGGGGGUCCUAGGGAGCUGAGGCGGAAGAACUCCCGGAACUGCUAGAGGCAGAGGCG